RNAcentral lists this long non-coding RNA (534 nucleotides) under Sus scrofa (pig). RNAcentral's name for it is "lncRNA (ENSSSCG00060007282.1)". Lineage: Eukaryota; Metazoa; Chordata; Mammalia; Artiodactyla; Suidae. The record is from RNAcentral.
GUAUACAGAAUAUAAAAUGACACUUCGCUGCCUCUUCCAUGAUGAGACCAGGCCAGGGAUUGCUGGGGGCGGUCAGCAUCUCCAGGGCAUGGCCCAGCCAAUGAAGCCACCUGCGUACUGCCUUGCCCUCUGCUGCCUGAUUUCUCAGAAGCCAGUAAGGGAGAUUGCUUUUGUUACCUUGUGGCCACCAGGUUCUCAGGCUGGACCUGGCUCUUGAGGUGCUUUGGAGGGUCUUCCGUGGCUGCUCAAGGGGUCCCAGGGCAGACAUGUGACCCGCGGUCUGUGAUCUGCACUUACAGUUUCCGGAGGGAGGAGUCAUCUAAUGAGCUUCAGAAAGACUCCCGAAACUGUGACUCAUGGUGCCAGAGUCGUAAGAAUAAAGCAAGGAUGUUGAUUAUGAAAGACACAUUGCCUUUCCAAGGUAUAUCACUCCUAAACGAUCACUCUAUCCAAAAGAGGGAGAGGAUAUUCUAAACAGAGGAAUGCAAAGAGAGGAAGAGAAGAGGGCAAGGAUAAGGCCAGCCUACAUUCUGC